This 207-nucleotide small nuclear RNA is filed under the name Mustela putorius furo (domestic ferret). RNAcentral describes it as "U2 spliceosomal RNA". The stretch from base 1 to 160 matches the Rfam family "U2 spliceosomal RNA". From Rfam's summary of the family: U2 is a small nuclear RNA (snRNA) component of the spliceosome (involved in pre-mRNA splicing). Lineage: Eukaryota; Metazoa; Chordata; Mammalia; Carnivora; Mustelidae. The record is from Rfam by way of RNAcentral.
AUCGCUUCUCGGCCUUUUGGCUAAGAUCAAGUGUAGUAUCUGUUCUUAUCAGUUUGUUGGAGAUCCUUUGCAUGACCAUUUAAGUUUUAGGAUCAGUUUGUUAAUAUUUACAACAAAGACAGAUGAAAUUUGGAUCAAGGGUGCCUGGAGUUUAUACAUCAGUUUGAGGAUAAGUGAAAUUCUAUUAUCAAUUUAUCUUUGCAAUAU